CCUACGGGUGGCAGCAGUGGGGAAUAUUGCGCAAUGGGCGAAAGCCUGACGCAGCGACGCAGCGUGAGGGAUGAAGGUCUUAGGAUCUUAAACCUCCGUCAGCAAGGCAGAACGGUCACUGUGCUAAUCAGCAGUGAAUUGACGGUACCUGCAAAGGAAGCACCGGCUAACUCCGUGCCAGCAGCCGCGGUAAUACGGCGGGUGCGAGCGUUAAUCGGAAUGACUGGGCGUAACGCGCUCGUAGGCGGUAGGUCAAGUCAAGGGUGAAAUGCCCGGGCUCAACGUGGGAACUGACUUUGAAACUGGCAAACUGGAGUGUGUGAGAGGAUAGUGGAAUUCCAGGUGUAGGAGUGAAAUCCGUAGAUAUCAGGAGGAACAUCAGUGGCGAAGGCGACUAUCUGGCACAUAACUGACGCUGAGGAGCGAAAGCGUGGGUAGCAAACAGGAUUAGAUACCCGUGUAGUC
This 465-nucleotide ribosomal RNA is filed under the name uncultured bacterium. RNAcentral's name for it is "partial 16S ribosomal RNA". It matches the Rfam family "Bacterial small subunit ribosomal RNA", at positions 338 to 795 of the family's 1533-position model. The record is from RNAcentral.